CGAAGUCGAUAUUUCGAAAACUGCGGCACUAGUUAACCGGACAAAAAACAGGUGGAAUAAUAAUAAUAACUAGAUUGCAGUUCCUACAGAAACUGCGAGUGUGAUUGCAGUGCUGGCUGGUAUCUGCUAUGGUGUUGCUAAGGUGUUGCUAUGGUAUCCGGGGUGGUUGCUAAGGUGUUGCUAGGUGGUUGCUAAGGUGUUGCUAGCCGGUUGCUAAGGUGUUGCUAUGGUAUCCGGGGUGGUUGCUAAAGUGUUGCUAGGUGGUUGCUAGGGUGUUGCUAGGCGGUUGCUAAGGUGUUGCUAUGGUACCCGGGGUGGUUGCUAAGGUGUUGCUAGGUGGUUGCUAGGUGGUUGCUAAGGUGUUGCUAGCCGGUUGCUAAGGUGUUGCUAUGGUAUCCGGGGUGGUUGCUAAGGUGUUGCUAGGUGGUUGCUAGGUGGUUGCUAGGGUGUUGCUAGGCGGUUGCUAAGGUGUUGCUAUGGUAUCCGGGGUGGUUGCUAAGGUGUUGCUAGGUGGUUGCUAGGGUGUUGCUAGGCGGUUGCUAAGGUGUUGCUAUGGUAUCCGGGGUGGUUGCUAAGGUGUUGCUAGGUGGUUGCUAGGUGGUUGCUAGGGUGUUGCUAGGCGGUUGCUAAGGUGUUGCUAUGGUAUCCGGGGUGGUUGCCAAGGUGUUGCUAGGUGGUUGCUAGGGUGUUGCUAGGCGGUUGCUAAGGUGUUGCUAUGGUACCCGGGGUGGUUGCUAAGGUGUUGCUAGGUGGUUGCUAGGUGGUUGCUAAGGUGUUGCUAGCCGGUUGCUAAGGUGUUGCUAUGGUAUCUGGGGUGGUUGCUAAGGUGUUGCUAGAUGGUUGCUAGGUGCUUGCUAUGGUGUUGCUAGGCGGUUGCUAAGGUGUUGCUAUGGUAUCCAGGGUGGUUGCUAAGGUGUUGCUAGGUAGUUGCUAGGUGGUUGCUAGGGUGUUGCUAGGCGGUUGCUAAGGUGUUGCUAUGGUAUCCGGGGUGGUUGCUAUGGUGUUUCUAGGUGGUUGCUAGGUGAUGUAUAUGCAUAAAUUAGAUUAAAUGGUGUUUGCACGUUGCGUUGCUCUGGCCGUUCGGGGGUGUCCAAACUUUUGACCCGUGGCUCCAUUACACACAGUACUGGGGGGCCGGGGUGUCCAAACUUUUGACCCAUGGCUCCAUUACACACAGUACUGGGGGGGGGCCGGGGUGUCCAAACUUUUGACCUAACGCUGAUUUAUCCCAUAGCUGCUCCAUACACUCACAGUACUGGAGUUCUAGCUACCUGUCCUUCGAUCUAGCUGCCGUCCUCCGAUUGGCCCCAUUCAU
Astyanax mexicanus (Mexican tetra) is the source of this 1315-nucleotide long non-coding RNA. RefSeq lists it as uncharacterized. NCBI's taxonomy places the organism in Eukaryota, Metazoa, Chordata, Actinopteri, Characiformes, Acestrorhamphidae. The record is from RefSeq and is a predicted model, not a curated record. The transcript has 3 exons.